AGAAUCUGGAUUUUGGGGUGAAGGGUUUGGAUUUUGGGAUUUGGAUUUUGGGAUGAAGUGUUUGGAAUUUUGGGAUGAAGGAUUUGGAUUUUGGGAUGAAUUUUGGGGUGAAGGAUUUGGAAUUUGGGAUGAAUUUUGGGGUGAAUUUUGGGGUGAAGGAUUUGGAUUUUGGGGCGAAGGAUUUGGAUUUUGGGGCGAAGGAUUUGGAAUAUGGGGUGAAGAAUUUGGAUUUUGGGAUGAAGGGUUUGGAAUUUGGGAUGAAAUUUGGGGUGAAGAAUUUGGAUUUUGGGGUGAAGGAUUUGGAAUUUGAGAUGAAAUUUGGGGUGAAGGAUUUGGAUUUUGGGGUGAAGGGUUUGGGUUUUCGGAUGAAUAUUGGGAUGAAGGAUUUGGGAAUUUUGGGAUGAA
Molecule: long non-coding RNA, 405 nt
Filed under: Zonotrichia albicollis (white-throated sparrow)
Lineage: Eukaryota; Metazoa; Chordata; Aves; Passeriformes; Passerellidae
Description: lncRNA (ENSZALG00000008015.1)
Source: RNAcentral